RNAcentral lists this ribosomal RNA (334 nucleotides) under Morganella morganii. Its description in RNAcentral is "partial 16S ribosomal RNA". It matches the Rfam family "Bacterial small subunit ribosomal RNA", at positions 1 to 331 of the family's 1533-position model. The record is from RNAcentral. Lineage: Bacteria; Pseudomonadati; Pseudomonadota; Gammaproteobacteria; Enterobacterales; Morganellaceae. RNAcentral also lists the same sequence under 1 other name.
UAAUUGAAGAGUUUGAUCAUGGCUCAGAUUGAACGCUGGCGGCAGGCCUAACACAUGCAAGUCGGGCGGUAACAGGGAGAAGCUUGCUUCUCCGCUGACGAGCGGCGGACGGGUGAGUAAUGUAUGGGGAUCUGCCUGAUGGCGGGGGAUAACUACUGGAAACGGUAGCUAAUACCGCAUAAUGUCUUCGGACCAAAGCGGGGGACCUCCGGGCCUCGCGCCAUCAGAUGAACCCAUAUGGGAUUAGCUAGUAGGUGAGGUAACGGCUUACCUAGGCGACGAUCCCUAGCUGGUCUGAGAGGAUGAUCAGCCACACUGGGACUGAGACACGGCC